CGGUGGUGGAUUAGUGGCGAACGGGUGAGUAACACGUGGGCAAUCUGCCCUGCACUCUGGGACAAGCCCUGGAAACGGGGUCUAAUACCGGAUAUGACCACCGGCCGCAUGGUCUGGUGGUGGAAAGCUCCGGCGGUGCAGGAUGAGCCCGCGGCCUAUCAGCUUGUUGGUGGGGUGAUGGCCUACCAAGGCGACGACGGGUAGCCGGCCUGAGAGGGCGACCGGCCACACUGGGACUGAGACACGGCCCAGACUCCUACGGGAGGCAGCAGUGGGGAAUAUUGCACAAUGGGCGCAAGCCUGAUGCAGCGACGCCGCGUGAGGGAUGACGGCCUUCGGGUUGUAAACCUCUUUCAGCAGGGAAGAAGCGCAAGUGACGGUACCUGCAGAAGAAGCACCGGCUAACUACGUGCCAGCAGCCGCGGUAAUACGUAGGGUGCGAGCGUUGUCCGGAAUUAUUGGGCGUAAAGAGCUCGUAGGCGGCCUGUCGCGUCGGAUGUGAAAGCCCGGGGCUUAACCCCGGGUCUGCAUUCGAUACGGGCAGGCUAGAGUUCGGUAGGGGAGAUCGGAAUUCCUGGUGUAGCGGUGAAAUGCGCAGAUAUCAGGAGGAACACCGGUGGCGAAGGCGGAUCUCUGGGCCGAUACUGACGCUGAGGAGCGAAAGCGUGGGGAGCGAACAGGAUUAGAUACCCUGGUAGUCCACGCCGUAAACGUUGGGAACUAGGUGUGGGCGACAUUCCACGUCGUCCGUGCCGCAGCUAACGCAUUAAGUUCCCCGCCUGGGGAGUACGGCCGCAAGGCUAAAACUCAAAGGAAUUGACGGGGGGCCCGCACAAGCGGCGGAACAUGUGGCUUAAUUCGACGCAACGCGAAGAAACCUUACCAAGGCUUGACAUACACCGGGAAAGCGCUG
This 913-nucleotide ribosomal RNA is filed under the name Streptomyces sp. SE19. Its description in RNAcentral is "bacterial SSU rRNA". It matches the Rfam family "Bacterial small subunit ribosomal RNA", at positions 82 to 1003 of the family's 1533-position model. Lineage: Bacteria; Bacillati; Actinomycetota; Actinomycetes; Kitasatosporales; Streptomycetaceae. The record is from RNAcentral.